RNAcentral lists this ribosomal RNA (205 nucleotides) under uncultured bacterium. Its description in RNAcentral is "partial 16S ribosomal RNA". It matches the Rfam family "Bacterial small subunit ribosomal RNA", at positions 355 to 577 of the family's 1533-position model. The record is from RNAcentral.
UGGGGAAUAUUGGACAAUGGGGGCAACCCUGAUCCAGCAAUGCCGCGUGUGUGAAGAAGGUCUUCGGAUUGUAAAGCACUUUCGACGGGGACGAUGAUGACGGUACCCGUAGAAGAAGCCCCGGCUAACUUCGUGCCAGCAGCCGCGGUAAUACGAAGGGGGCUAGCGUUGCUCGGAAUGACUGGGCGUAAAGGGCGUGUAGGCG